Molecule: non-coding RNA, 205 nt
Organism: Pelobates cultripes (western spadefoot toad)
Lineage: Eukaryota; Metazoa; Chordata; Amphibia; Anura; Pelobatidae
Source: the annotation of a GenBank genome assembly
CUUUUUUACCAUUAGUAUUAUCCUGUCAUUACCUUCAUUCAGCAGUUUAUCUAAAUCACCGAUUUGGCAAUUUCCUUUUGUGGUCUUAAUCAGUCCUGCUGAACUGUUAUCUUUAGGCAGAUUAGAUAGUGUUUCUAUACCAUUUAGUACCAUCUUGCUAUCAUCUCCACUUAGAAACUUAUUUUUAUUACUGAUUGACUCCACU